GAUCAUUACUGUGAUUUACUACUACACUGCGUGAGCGGAACGAAAACAACAACACCUAAAAUGUGGAAUAUAGCAUAUAGUCGACAAGAGAAAUCUACGAAAAACAAACAAAACUUUCAACAACGGAUCUCUUGGUUCUCGCAUCGAUGAAGAGCGCAGCGAAAUGCGAUACCUAGUGUGAAUUGCAGCCAUCGUGAAUCAUCGAGUUCUUGAACGCACAUUGCGCCCCUCGGCAUUCCGGGGGGCAUGCCUGUUUGAGCGUCGUUUCCAUCUUGCGCGUGCGCAGAGUUGGGGGAGCGGAGCGGACGACGUGUAAAGAGCGUCGGAGCUGCGACUCGCCUGAAAGGGAGCGAAGCUGGCCGAGCGAACUAGACUUUUUUUCAGGGACGCUUGGCGGCCGAGAGCGAGUGUUGCGAGACAACAAAAAGCUCGACCUCAAAUCAGG
This 445-nucleotide unclassified non-coding RNA is filed under the name Pichia kudriavzevii. Its description in RNAcentral is "sequence contains 18S rRNA gene, ITS1, 5.8S rRNA gene, ITS2, 28S rRNA gene". The stretch from base 112 to 264 matches the Rfam family "5.8S ribosomal RNA". Lineage: Eukaryota; Fungi; Ascomycota; Pichiomycetes; Pichiales; Pichiaceae. The record is from RNAcentral.